GCGGGUGUAAUUCAGUGGCAGAAUGGCAGCUUCCCAAGCUGUAUAUGGCGGUUCGAUUCCGCUCACCCGCUCUA
Molecule: transfer RNA, 74 nt
Filed under: Omnitrophica WOR_2 bacterium RIFCSPHIGHO2_02_FULL_45_21
Lineage: Bacteria; Pseudomonadati; Candidatus Omnitrophota
Description: tRNA-Gly
Rfam family: tRNA
About the family: Transfer RNA (tRNA) molecules are approximately 80 nucleotides in length. Their secondary structure includes four short double-helical elements and three loops (D, anti-codon, and T loops).
Source: RNAcentral